CAAUCAACCACCAAUACUCUCUCUCUCUCUCUCUCUCUCUCUCUCUCUCUCUCUCUCUCUCACUGCAGUUUUCUCUUGGUUUUAUAAUCAAAAUGAAUAAAAACAACAACACGAGCUACCAAGCUGGAAAAGCUGUGGGCCAAGCUCAGGAAAAGAGCAGCAACUUGAUGAACAAUGCCAAAACAUCAGUUCUAGGGGCUGGAAAGCAGGUGCAGACUAAGACGCAAGAAGCAGUUAAUUAUGUGAAGGGUGCAGUUACUAAAAAGUGAAAGCCUCAACAUGCAGUUGCAUCCAAUAAUUUUUACUUUAUUAUUUUACUGUUUGUUUUCAGUUUGUGAUGGUGUUUAUGUUUUGAACUUUGUGUUUAUGAUUUCAUCUUUUAUGGAGUAGUAGUAUUUGUUAAUUAAUUGUUCAUAUGUAUUGUUUGGGGACCUCAAGAAUUAGUAUUGUGUAUGUUUUGCUCGA
Long non-coding RNA from Salvia miltiorrhiza (redroot sage), 465 nucleotides. RefSeq lists it as uncharacterized. Lineage: Eukaryota; Viridiplantae; Streptophyta; Magnoliopsida; Lamiales; Lamiaceae. The record is from RefSeq and is a predicted model, not a curated record. The transcript has 3 exons.